CCUACGGGAGGCAGCAGUGGGGAAUAUUGCACAAUGGGGGAAACCCUGAUGCAGCGACGCCGCGUGAGUGAAGAAGUAUUUCGGUACGUAAAGCUCUAUCAGCAGGGAAGAAAAUUACGGUACCUGACUAAGAAGCCCCGGCUAACUACGUGCCAGCAGCCGCGGUAAUACGUAGGGGGCAAGCGUUAUCCGGAUUUACUGGGUGUAAAGGGAGCGUAGACGGCAGCGCAAGUCUGGAGUGAAAUCCCAUGGCUUAACCAUGGAACUGCUUUGGAAACUGUGCAGCUAGAGUGCAGGAGAGGUAAGCGGAAUUCCUAGUGUAGCGGUGAAAUGCGUAGAUAUUAGGAGGAACACCAGUGGCGAAGGCGGCUUACUGGACUGUAACUGACGUUGAGGCUCGAAAGCGUGGGGAGCAAACAGGAUUAGAUACCCGAGUAGUC
This 440-nucleotide ribosomal RNA is filed under the name uncultured bacterium. RNAcentral's name for it is "partial 16S ribosomal RNA". It matches the Rfam family "Bacterial small subunit ribosomal RNA", at positions 338 to 795 of the family's 1533-position model. The record is from RNAcentral.